UACGUAGGGUGCAAGCGUUGUCCGGAAUUAUUGGGCGUAAAGAGCUCGUAGGCGGUUUGUCGCGUCGGCUGUGAAAUCCCGAGGCUCAACCUCGGGCCUGCAGUCGAUACGGGCAAACUAGAGUGUGGUAGGGGAGACUGGAAUUCCUGGUGUAGCGGUGAAAUGCGCAGAUAUCAGGAGGAACACCGGCGGCGAAGGCGGGUCUCUGGGCAGUAACUGACGCUGAGGAGCGAAAGCGUGGGGAGCGAACAGG
Molecule: ribosomal RNA, 253 nt
Filed under: uncultured bacterium
Lineage: Bacteria
Description: partial 16S ribosomal RNA
Rfam family: Bacterial small subunit ribosomal RNA
Source: RNAcentral